RNAcentral lists this ribosomal RNA (253 nucleotides) under uncultured Lachnospiraceae bacterium. RNAcentral's name for it is "partial 16S ribosomal RNA". It matches the Rfam family "Bacterial small subunit ribosomal RNA", at positions 524 to 776 of the family's 1533-position model. The record is from RNAcentral. Lineage: Bacteria; Bacillati; Bacillota; Clostridia; Lachnospirales; Lachnospiraceae.
UACGUAUGGUGCAAGCGUUAUCCGGAUUUACUGGGUGUAAAGGGAGCGCAGGCGGCACGGCAAGCCUGAAGUGAAAGCCCGUGGCUCAACCGCGGAACUGCUUUGGAAACUGUAUAGCUUGAGUACUGGAGAGGCAGGCGGAAUUCCUAGUGUAGCGGUGAAAUGCGUAGAUAUUAGGAGGAACACCAGUGGCGAAGGCGGCCUGCUGGACAGAAACUGACGUUGAGGCUCGAAAGCGUGGGGAGCAAACAGG